This 370-nucleotide ribosomal RNA is filed under the name uncultured Streptococcus sp. RNAcentral describes it as "bacterial SSU rRNA". It matches the Rfam family "Bacterial small subunit ribosomal RNA", at positions 1010 to 1382 of the family's 1533-position model. The record is from RNAcentral. Lineage: Bacteria; Bacillati; Bacillota; Bacilli; Lactobacillales; Streptococcaceae.
GAAAGUUACUUCGGUACAUCGGUGACAGGUGGUGCAUGGUUGUCGUCAGCUCGUGUCGUGAGAUGUUGGGUUAAGUCCCGCAACGAGCGCAACCCCUAUUGUUAGUUGCCAUCAUUCAGUUGGGCACUCUAGCGAGACUGCCGGUAAUAAACCGGAGGAAGUGGGGAUGACGUCAAAUCAUCAUGCCCCUUAUGACCUGGGCUACACACGUGCUACAAUGGUUGGUACAACGAGUUGCGAGUCGGUGACGGCGAGCUAAUCUCUUAAAGCCAAUCUCAGUUCGGAUUGUAGGCUGCAACUCGCCUACAUGAAGUCGGAAUCGCUAGUAAUCGCGGAUCAGCACGCCGCGGUGAAUACGUUCCCGGGCCUU